GACGAACGCUGGCGGCGUGCCUAAUACAUGCAAGUCGAGCGAAUCAAUGGGAGCUUGCUCCCUGAGAUUAGCGGCGGACGGGUGAGUAACACGUGGGUAACCUGCCUGUAAGACUGGGAUAACUUCGGGAAACCGGAGCUAAUACCGGAUACGUUCUUUUCUCGCAUGAGGAGAGAUGGAAAGAUGGUUCUGCUAUCACUUACAGAUGGACCCGCGGCGCAUUAGCUAGUUGGUGAGGUAACGGAUCACCAAGGCGACGAUGCGUAGCCGACCUGGAGGGGUGAUCGGCCACACUGGGACUGAGACACGGCCCAGACUCCUACGGGAGGCAGCAGUAGGGAAUCUUCCGCAAUGGACGAGAGUCUGACGGAGCAACGCCGCGUGAGCGAAGAAGGCCUCCGGGUCGUAAAGCUCUGUUGUUAGGGAAGAACAAGUACGAGAGUAACUGCUCGUACCUUGACGGUACCUAACCAGAAAGCCACGGCUAACUACGUGCCAGCAGCCGCCGUAA
This 511-nucleotide ribosomal RNA is filed under the name uncultured bacterium. RNAcentral describes it as "partial 16S ribosomal RNA". It matches the Rfam family "Bacterial small subunit ribosomal RNA", at positions 28 to 523 of the family's 1533-position model. The record is from RNAcentral.